Amblyraja radiata (thorny skate) is the source of this 71-nucleotide small nucleolar RNA. The record is from RefSeq and is a predicted model, not a curated record. NCBI's taxonomy places the organism in Eukaryota, Metazoa, Chordata, Chondrichthyes, Rajiformes, Rajidae.
UGGACAUGAUGUGAAGUCGACCUCCUGACAUCAUAUUCUGGAGGGAAAAACUGAUUUAAUGAGUCUGAUUC